This is a non-coding RNA of Amphiprion ocellaris (clown anemonefish), 73 nucleotides long. Lineage: Eukaryota; Metazoa; Chordata; Actinopteri; Pomacentridae. The record is from the annotation of a RefSeq genome assembly.
GUUUCCAUAGUGUAGUGGUUAUCAUGUUCGCUUUACACACGAAAGGUCCCUGGUUUGAAACCAGGUGGGAACA